CCUAUUCAUCUUCUUCCCACACUUCCGUUUUCUCUCAGAUCUACUCAAUCUUUAUUCACCGGAAAAUUGCACAUCCACCGGAGACACGUCUCUUACCCCCAAAUCUACCAUCUCCGUCUUCUCAGUUGACCACCAAGCACUCAUUACCCUCAAAUUUGUCAUCUCUAUCGAAGCUUUCCUAAACGAUCAAGGUGAAAUCCAGAUUUGUUUAUCCGACGAAGACGAUGGCGCUGUCCACCACUAGAGACUUCCCCCCGCCUUCUCCGAUGAAGGGUUUUCUGAUGGUGCCAUAUUUGUUCGAUCUACGUUUAUGAAGGGUUGUAGCUCCGAUAUCCGAUCUAUGUUUUUAUCUCUUUUUGUCUUCUCUUGUGUCUCUUCAAAUCCCUCUACCGACUUCAGGUGGUGGUGGUUAUGCUUCAGGCGACGGUUCUAGAGCCAUAACUCUCCUUAUGGAUUUCAUUGACUGGUCAUUUCUCUCCUAAGAUUUCUCGUUCUAAAAGGGUCGGAAAUCCCCAACUUUGUUCGUCUGCCGCAGAAAACAACUAAAAUCGUGAUCUAGAUUUGAGAUUUGUUAUUGCUAUGUUUGUUAUGUUUCUUUCCUUCUUCUUCUUCUUUUUCUUCUAUCUAGAUUGUAGUUUUUGGGUUUGUUUGAAAUAUUUGUUGAUGUCGAUUCAGGUGGUGGUCAAGGGCAGUUCAUCAGAUCAGGAAAAAUGAUUUAUGGGUUUGUGAAUGUGAUGUUCUUGUUCUUGAACUCAGAAAAAAUGAGUGUUCUUGAGAUCAUAUUCAUAUUUGUGUGUGUAUGUUUUUAGUUCUAAUCGACUUCACAGCUAAUGAGAUUGAGCUUUGUUUCCUUUGUUUAAAUCAAAUUAAUCUUGAUGUAUGUGUAACUGUAUAUGUGUGUGUUUUGAGUUUGGAACAUUUGUAAACUUAAUCUAAUAAAUUGAACAAAAUCGAUAAAAGUAAAGGUUCUUCGUUUUGCAAAUCCACUUCCAGACAUGUGUUAAAUUUCUUUGUGUUUCAUUUCAGAUCUAAAAUCAAGAACGAAGAACACCCAUUGUGGAUUUGGAUUUGGGAUGUUGGAUGGUGGUGGGUCAUGGCAAGGGGAGGUGGAGGAGCUGCCACAGUCGACUGUGGUGACUCUCUUCGCCGGAGAAGUGAGAAACGAGGGAGAUAGACGGGUUAGAGAUGAGAAGGAGGUCGAGGAGAUAUAUAUAUAUAUAUAUAUAUAUAUAUAUAUAUAUAUAUAGAGAGAGAGAGAGAGAGAGAUUUUUUUCUUUUUGUGAUUUCUGUAAUAAAAAAAUUGAAAAAAGGGAAAAUACCAAGGGCAAAUCCGUCAUUAUAAAAAGUUUAAAAAUUUUUGGACUAAACUCGCAACAAAAUGAAACUAUUGGACCAUCCUUGCGAGUCAAACCUAUUUUGGAUCAAAGUUACUAGUUUUGACAUACCACAAGGACCAUUCUUGUAAUUUUGUCUAAAAAGAAUGAUACAUGCACCAUGUAGAUAAGGAAUGCAAAUUGUGGUUGAAGUGGACAUGAAGCAAUUAAUGAUACAUGUCCAUUAAAUUCAGAAAUCCGUACCAUCCAAUUGAUUAAUUAACGGUAUACAUGUAUUUUGGUGAAUGGCUAACGUUUGAGAAUUGUACGGUACGGAGCUAUCUACAAGUCGGUUUACAUUCUAGUACUAUAAAUAGGAGAAUCACCUUUAAGCUUUGAUCAUACUAUCUAAUCACAGUUUUAGAGAGAAUAAAGCAAAGGUGUGGUAAAGCACAUGGGGCUUUAGAGGGGGCAAAGUGGGCAACCGUACAAGGACCGGCUCUGGUAAAACGUAAUUACAAAUAUUAAAAGAUCAAUGGGUUAUUGUAAGGACUAUAUUUGGAUGUAGGUUAGAUAUCCGUUAUAUCAUGCGAGUACUCGUAGUAAAUGAUUUUAUAAAUGUUAUUUAUGUGAAAAUGUUUACUCUCACUAAAUUUUCGAUUAUAUGUUAUGGAUGAAUUCAUGGUCC
Long non-coding RNA from Lactuca sativa (garden lettuce), 2001 nucleotides. RefSeq lists it as uncharacterized. NCBI's taxonomy places the organism in Eukaryota, Viridiplantae, Streptophyta, Magnoliopsida, Asterales, Asteraceae. The record is from RefSeq and is a predicted model, not a curated record.